This 7431-nucleotide long non-coding RNA is filed under the name Brassica napus (rape). RNAcentral's name for it is "long non-coding RNA (BNAP_LNC019265)". The record is from RNAcentral. Lineage: Eukaryota; Viridiplantae; Streptophyta; Magnoliopsida; Brassicales; Brassicaceae.
AGAGGAAGGUGGAAGGGGGAGGUUCAAGACCCACUCAAACGCACCUGCAAGAAUUGCAGACAGAGAGAAGAAAGCUCCACUUAAGCAAUAAGACACACUUGAUCAUCCUAAUUGAUCUCAUUUAAGACUUCAUAUGUAUUGUAUUGCAGUAUGUGAACAUAUUUGCAAACUAAUAUUAAAAGUUGGAACCGUUUGUGUUUUAAAAUAAGUUGAAAGUAUAGUUGUCCGCCACCAUUUCUUUAUAUAUGUUAUUAGUCCUGAAAUGAGCUCAUCAUAUCUGGAGGUGAAGCUUAUUGGUUUCAUAUUUUGACAAGAGAUAAGAACAGAUUCUUUCAAGAACAUUAGAAAGCAAAAGAUAAAAUGGUCCAAACAGUGACAUUGCAAUCUUCAAACUAAUCAUAUCUAAAAGAUACACAGAGAUUGCGUCUUUAUCUAUAAUCCGUGUUUAGUGGGGGACCAACAAGCUGUUGAAACGAUGGUUACUUAGCCUCUCUGGCUCUUUGCCCACAUAUGCCUCCCUGUUACUUGAGCCGGUGGGUACAGAUCCGAACCAGCACUACGCUUCACAUCCACAUCUCCGUUGAAAGACAUUGACUGUUUCUUCUCAAACGGUGUUUUGGAACAAGACGAUGAAGAAGAACCUGACCUUCUCUGCUUAGCUUUGAUAGACUGCGUCAAGCUCAUGUAGCUUGGCUUUCUGUAAUACCCUCCUUCCUCAAGGAAGCUUCCUGAGAAGGGAACCGGGGACUGAGACGUAGAGGAAGUCUCGGAACUAGUAGCUGAUGAUGACAUUGGAGGAGGUCUAGCUAAAACUCUGGUUGUGAGACUGUUCUUCCUAACCUGAACCGCGUCGUGUUCAGACACGCUGCUCUCGCUUUUCCUUGCGUUGUUGUCUGAUGAGUUUGUGGGACCACCUUCCAUCAACCGCCCUUCCCAUGGCCUGUCUGCAACCCAUCUGUCGAGCCAGUUCCAACCCGGACUGCUCUUGCAUGACCCGCUACUCUUCUUAACGCUCCCUUGUUUGUUCACCUUAGCGUUAGGGCUUGGACACGUCCUUGGCUGUCAAAGAUUUUGAGAAAACUCAGUAAACACAAAUGUCUCUGAAAGAGUUAAUUAAGUGCUUUUCAAGCCGUUUUACCUGGUGUGUGAGUGCAUAUACCAUAGCUCUCUCCCUCUUGAUAGCUCCUUCUUGCCUCAUUUGUAGCUUCGUUCUCACUUCAUUCACACUUCCAGGGCUAUCACACCAACCCUUCUACACGAAAAACAUCAAUGCAAAGUUUAGUCUUCUCUUACAUGCCUCAUGCCUUUGUCUGAUAAUAUUAUUACCUCAGCUUGCUUAGCAGGAUCAUUCUUUUCUUCAGAUGGCUUCUCCAACUCCUGUCCAUCUGAAGGAGCCCUGUUGCAAUGAGCUCGUACACGAGCUUGGACUCGAACAAGAGCUUGCAUACACCUUAAUGUCACAUCAGCUUGCUUCCUGACUUGCCUUCCACGGAAUAUCGCCUGAAUCCUCACCACCGCCUUCAAAGCUCUCAGCGCCUGCCUUGCCUAUAAAAAACAUUGACCACAAAAGCUUCAGACAAAACUGAAUUGACUAAGUUCAUUAGUUGUUGAUGUUUUGACUUAAAGUUUCUAACUUUAUGAAAGUAACAACCAUAUAGACACAAGUCACUGCAAUGAUCAAGUCUCUAAUGUCCAUGUAAGAGUGUGUUUGACUUAAAGUUUCUAACUUUAUGAAUGUAAAGACACAACUCAUUGCAAUUAUCAAGUCUCUAAUGUCCAUGUAAGAGUCAAUGUACCAGGAAAGAUCGAAAAGCAGCUUGGAUCCGAGUUGCAGCCCAUUCACGUUUAACAAGAAGGAAAUCUUUAGGUGGAGCUCUGAUAACAGCAGCAACAGACGCGGCAAAAGAAUCGUCGGCGGAGAAAGAAGGUGGAUCUGAGCCAAGAGAAGGAGUUCCAUAGCUACCAGCACGGCUCUUGAAACCUUUUGAGGAGGAGAUGAAACUCUCUGAAGAAGUCCUCCACAGUUUCCAUUUCUUCUUGCUGUUCUUAUCACCUAACUGAAAAAAGAUCAAUGCUUUAUAAGAGAGAUCGAAUCAUGGAGAUAGAGAAAGAGAGAGGCUUUGGAGAUUACCUGAUGAUCAUCAGUGAUGGGUUUUUUGUUAGAAAUCAGAGACUUAAUCCAGUUUCCAGAGCCACCCAUUUGUCAAGUUGGAGACUUUGUAAUCAGUUACUGUGGAGAAAGAUCAGAUUCGAGGAUAUAACUGGUAAAGGAUUCUUGGGAAGCGAGGAGGAAGAAGAUGAAGAAAGAGAGAGAAAGUUUUGGUGGCCUGUGAAUGAUGUAGACAAAAAGGGUUUGUAAUGUUAAAAGAAGAGAGAAGAAGCAUUUGAAAUUUGAAAUUUUGGGCGAAGGAAGAGAAAAGCAUUUGUUUAAUUUAAACAACGGUAACAUUGACAUCUCGCUUUCGUCUCGUAAUAAAUAAAUAAAAGGAUAAUAAAUGACUCUUUUAACUUUGGAAAAUUAAAUAAUUUAUAUCUCAUGUCCCGCGUGGUGAUAAUGUUUACUAAAUAUGCUUUUAGGUCCAUGUAUAUAUGAAUUGUUAUGAAAGGACCACUAACUAUUUAUUUCUUUGUCUUUUCACCCCGUAACUCUUGUAAGCGUUAAAAAGUCCAUUUAGUGUUUUUAAUUUGUAUGGGAUCCAUCUUAGUGGUAUUGGUUUUUGUAUCGGGACUAGGUAAUAAUCUGCGCCUUGCGCGGAAUGUGAUUAUUAGUUUCGUUAUUUUUAAUAAAAACAAAUUAAAUUUGUUUAAUCUGGAUAUCAGUUUGGUUUUAAGUUAUUUUUUUGUUUUAAUCUCAUAAAAUAUAACUAUUAUUUUAAAUUAAUAUUUAUUUUGGUUUAUUCGGUUAGAAUGUUUGAUUUUUUAGUUUUUUCUGUAAAAACCAAAAAUUACUAUUAUUUUUUUAUUUUCAUGUUAUGAAUUUUAGAUAGUCGUCGUGUCGAACCAAUGGUUUCAUAUCAUAGUUUGUAAACGGAUAAUAGUUCAAGAAAAAUAAAAAAAAUUAUUAAGACAAAUAAUUUCACUACAAUUUGAUCAGUAGUGAAAGAAGCAUUAAGAAAAAAAUAUUUCAACUUCCAAAAAAAAAUAGAUACUUCAGUUGUCGUAAAUACUUAGUCACAAGGUGCUCACAUCAAGGUGCACAUGUAUGUGUAUGUAAAAGUAUAUAAAAAUAGUUGACAAUUAUAUAAAGAUAUUGUUAAUUAAUAUUAAAUGACAUUUUGUUCAAAAUAAUACAUGAAAGAUAAAAUUAAAAUUAAUUAAAAAUUAAAAAGGCCUUGACAUUAGUGAAUUUUUUUCAUAUAAAGAAAAAUAAAUUGUAUCUGUAAAUAGAGGUGAGCACAUAUCAAAUAUCCGGGUAUUUGGAGGCAUUUAUGUCGAUUCAAUCUUUAGCCACAUGGAUAGUCGGUGACUCUGAUAUCCGAAAUGAUUUAGAAUUUUAAAGAAUAUCCGAUUUGAUCCGUAGAUAAAAUAAAAUUUUAAAAAUAAUUGAAAAUUUUAAUAAUAACAUUUUAUUACAAAAAUAAAAAAUAUAUAUUAUUUAACUUUUAGAAUUUACCUAAUAUAAUAAAUUUAAUUCAUAAAAAUAUGUAAAACUUAUACAAACUAUAAUAUAUAUAACAUAUAUAUAUAUAAUUUUGUACAUAUAUGUAUAUAUAUGUAUAUAACAGAUCGAAUUAGAUAUCCGUUCCUAAUAAUAUUGGUAUUUGUGAUUUGUUUUUUUUUUAUAUAUUGUAUUUUAGUAUUUGAUUUGCUUCUUAAAGUUACGGAUAUCCAUAUUUUUUGGUUCAAAUCAAAACGGAUAACGAAUCAAAUCAAAAUUUAUAAAUAUUUUGCCUAACUUUAUCCGUAAAUAAUAAAAAUAAUAUAUAUAUAGUUUAACUUUAGAUUCGUUAUUUGUUUUGAUUCGAACCGAAAAAUCCAAAGUUUUAUUGAAAGUGAGUUUUAUAUUAAAAAAUACGAAAUAUAUAGUAUAUAUGAACACAUUUAUGAAUAUAGUGUGAACGCGUUAGCAUAUUUAUUAUCAAAUCAUUAUGAGGUUGCCACGUGUCUAUUAUAGUACGUGUCUAUUAUAGUGUGAAUGCAUUUAUUACGAUGUUUUUUUUUAAUAUAUAAGGGAUUAUAUAAAAAAUAUGUCAUCUGUUAUAGAAAAAUAGCAUUUUCGAAAAUGGAAGAUUAGAAAAUAAAACAACCUUGAAGUGGACAAAGAAAACAAUCUUGAUGUGGACAAAAAACAAUCUAGUGGAAACAUAUGAUAUAACAUCAGUUUAACAUUUAAAAAAAAAAACACAGUACGACACGGUGAUUAUAGAAAGGGGAAUUGGGUUGUAGAAAUGAAUACUACAAAAGUUGGUAGUGUGGUUAGAUCAUAGACCCAGUCACUAUAGAAAUAAAGAAAACCAAUAAUACAAAUCCACCACUAUGACAAUGUUCAUCUCAAUAUUAUAAUUUCUUUGUAUUUUAGUUUUAAACACUUAUAAAUCCACUAAAUACAAAUCUUUAGACAAAUUCUUAUUAUUGAAUAAUAUUGAUUCUAAAAUAUGUUACCGAUUUUAAAAUCAAGAAUCGAUAACAAUUGAUUUAAAUAUAAGAAUCGAUAACAGUUGAUUUAAAUAUAGAUUUCAAAAUCAUAAAACCAAUAAUGACACAUUCCAAAUACAAGAACCAAUAACAUCAGCUUAAUGUGAACAAUACAUUCUCUCAAUAAUCUCCACUUAUUCAGUUUAUUAACAAACGCAAAGAACAAUAAUAACUGUAGCAGUGAGAGUGUUCUUUUAUUACAGAAAAUCACUUCAGUCGCCAUUAUGCCUCUUGUGCUUUGUGGAAAUCAGGUUUACAAACGUUCAGAAAGCCUCUAGACGAGACCAAGGAUGCUUUAUACGUUUCUAUUUCAGAGAGUUCUCGAUAUCAAUCACAAACCGGUACUUGAUGUCCUUCUUCACCACCCUUUCAAUAGCUUCGUUUGCCUUCUGAAUGGGAAUCACCUCAAUGUUGGGAUAAAUCUUAUGAGCUGCACAAAAAUCUAUCAUCUCCUGAGUCACCUUGGUACCUCCACUUACACUUCCCGCAAGCACUCUCAUACCUGUAUACCAAUGAUCCUUAUGGUCUAAGCAUCUUGAGGGUAUGUAUGUAAGCGUAUAACAAAGAGAUGCGUACCAAGGUUGAGAGUGGCAGGCUGGAUUUUAAUCUCACUUGGGAAACCAACCAGGACAUAAGUCCCAGCGAUCUUCAACAGCGACAUGUAAGGAUCAAACGCGUGAUCACCAGACGCUGUGUCAAUGAUAAAGUCUAGAGACUUCGCUAGUGCCUGCCAAGUUAACAUCACGUAGCUACCAAGUUAGGUUUUGGUUCCAUCCCUAAGAAAACCCCUCUCUCUCUCUACGUACCUUCAUCUGGUCAUGGGCAGAGGAGAUAACGAAGUUGUUAGCUCCAAGCAGACUCAAAGCCUCCUCUUUCUUGGAGACGCUGGUGCUGAACACCGUCACAUGAAGUCCAAAAGCCUUGCCGAACUUAACCGCCAUGUGGCCAAGCCCACCAAGCCCAACCACGCCAAGAGAUUUACCAGGCUGGUUCAUAUUGUGACGCAUCAUGGGAGCAUAGACAGUGACGCCAGCGCAUAGCAACGGCGCAGCUGAUUCCAAGGGAUAGUCCACAGGUAUCUUAUAACAAUACCUAUUGUAUCAAACUCAUCAGCCACUCACUCACUCACUCACAACUUUUUUAAAGAAUAUGACAAAAGAGAGAGAGAGAGAUGAUUAUAAAACCAACCUCUCGUGAACAACGAUGUGGCUAGAGUAGCCUCCUUUGGUAACAGAGCCAUCGUAAUCAACGCCGUUGAAAGUGAAGACUUGCCCUUUCACACAGCUAACCUCUUGUCCUUCGUCGCAGUAAUCACACUCCCUGCAGGAGUUAACAAACGUGCCGACACCAACGUGGUCUCCGACUUUGAACCGUGUGACAUUAGAUCCAACCUUGUUCACUACUCCAGCAAUCUCAUGCCUUAAAAACAGAGGAAUAUUUAAAUUAAAUAAAAACAUUAGGGAAGGUCAAAGUUGGAAGCUUUAAUAAGAGAUGGGUAUUGUUCAAAAAAACAUACCCAGGAACCAAAGGGUACUUAGAGUCACCAUGUUUGUUUUUUGUCCAGAUGACGUCAGCGUAACAGACACCACAGUGUGUGAUUUUUAGUGAAACGUCAUCGCUUGUUACAGAUCUGGUCAUGGAUAUGAACAUGGUGUAUCAAAUCAUUUGCAUGAGAUGAGGAUUGGUGGAUGGUUAAUGAAACGUACCUGCGAGUGAACGUGUGAGGGGAGAGGAGACCAGAUGGAUCUCGUGCAGCCCAACUCAAGCACUCGUCUCCUCCGGGAGAACUCAUCGGCGGUUUCGAUUCUUCCAUUACCUAAUCAAUGAUCAUCGUCUUCUUCUUCUUAGCUGGCUUGCAGAAUAUGAACAUGGUUCAUUAAAUUUUAGGGAAAAUUGUUUUUUAGAGCUAAACAAAUGAUAACCAUUUUCUUUUAUAUUAAUAUCUAUUUUAUGCAAUUUUUGUCUAUAAUACCUCUUAAUAUUUUUGAAAAUAAAUUUAAUAAAUAGUUUUACAAACAAAAAAAAUUAGAAAAAUAGUAACUAUUGAUAAAAUACCUAUAUGAACUUAUUGAUAUUUUUUCAAUUCUAAAAAUGUUUAAAUCAUAAUUUUCAGAUUCUAUUCUAAAUAAAGUAGAAAUGACAUUCUACGAAUUAGAAAACGAAAUCCAUUUUUUUCAUUGAAUCUAUAAUGUUUAGAAUAUGUGAUCGACGUAAAUAAGAAUAUUCUAAAAAUAUUUAGAAUACACAUUCCGCGCUUAACCUACCGAUCUAAAAUCUUUAGAAAUCAAAAUCUACACAUUAAUAUAAAUCUAAAACACGUAGAAACCGACUUCUACAGAUUUACUGUAAAUCUGAAACAUGUAGAAAUCAAAAUCUACGCAUUACUAUAAUUCUAAAAACCUGUAGAAACCGAUUUCUACAUAUUAGUUGUAAGAAAAAGGUAUGGAGGCACAAAUCAUUUUUUUAUCUGAUCUCUCUAAUAUCAAAUGUUGAUGAUGCUGGUGAAAAUUUUCAGGAGAGAGAGGAAGGUGGAAGGGGGAGGUUCAAGACCCACUCAAACGCACCUGCAAGAAUUGCAGACAGAGAGAAGAAAGCUCCACUUAAGCAAUAAGACACACUUGAUCAUCCUAAUUGAUCUCAUUUAAGACUUCAUAUGUAUUGUAUUGCAGUAUGUGAACAUAUUUGCAAACUAAUAUUAAAAGUUGGAACCGUUUGUGUUUUAAAAUAAGUUGAAAGUAUAGUUGUCCGCCACCAUUUCUUUAUAUAUGUUAUUAGUCCUGAAAUGAGCUCAUCAUA